GAGACACCCUUAUGGGGCAGGACUUGCUUCAGUGGGGCUUUGGUGCUCACUGAGUCUGCCCCUUGAGAGUCUCACU
Non-coding RNA from Myotis lucifugus (little brown bat), 76 nucleotides. The record is from Rfam. Lineage: Eukaryota; Metazoa; Chordata; Mammalia; Chiroptera; Vespertilionidae.